CCCUUAGAUGUUCUGGGCCGCACGCGUGCUACACUGAGUGGAUCAGCGGGUCAGGUUGCGCGAAAGUGUUUCCUAAUCUUGAAAUCCGCUCGUGAUGGGGAUUGACGGUUGCAAUUUUCCGUCAUGAACGAGGAAUACCUUGUAAGCGCGGGUCAUCAUCCCGCGCUGAAUACGUCCCUGCCCUUUGUACACACCGCCCGUCGCUCCUACCGAUUGAGUGGUCCGGUGAGGCUUUGGGAUCUGAGCAAAGAGAGCGUUUCGCUCGUUUCGCCCGGAAAACUCAGUCGAACCUUAUCAUUUAGAGGAAGGAGAAGUCGUAACA
RNAcentral lists this ribosomal RNA (322 nucleotides) under uncultured eukaryote. RNAcentral describes it as "partial 18S ribosomal RNA". It matches the Rfam family "Eukaryotic small subunit ribosomal RNA", at positions 1470 to 1796 of the family's 1831-position model. The record is from RNAcentral.